This 301-nucleotide ribosomal RNA is filed under the name uncultured bacterium. RNAcentral describes it as "partial 16S ribosomal RNA". It matches the Rfam family "Bacterial small subunit ribosomal RNA", at positions 509 to 807 of the family's 1533-position model. The record is from RNAcentral.
CAGUAGCCGCGGGAAUACGGAGGGUGCAAGCGUUAAUCGGAAUUACUGGGCGUAAAGCGCACGCAGGCGGUUUGUUAAGUCAGAUGUGAAAUCCCCGAGCUUAACUUGGGAACUGCAUUUGAAACUGGCGAGCUAGAGUCUUGUAGAGGGGGGUAGAAUUCCAGGUGUAGCGGUGAAAUGCGUAGAGAUCUGGAGGAAUACCGGUGGCGAAGGCGGCCCCCUGGACAAAGACUGACGCUCAGGUGCGAAAGCGUGGGGAGCAAACCGGAUUAGAUACCCCGGUAGUCCCUGUCUCUUAUAC